RNAcentral lists this transfer RNA (72 nucleotides) under Prionitis livida. RNAcentral's name for it is "Grateloupia livida tRNA-Val". It matches the Rfam family "tRNA". Rfam says of the family: Transfer RNA (tRNA) molecules are approximately 80 nucleotides in length. Their secondary structure includes four short double-helical elements and three loops (D, anti-codon, and T loops). RNAcentral also lists the same sequence under 1 other name. Lineage: Eukaryota; Rhodophyta; Florideophyceae; Halymeniales; Halymeniaceae. The record is from RNAcentral.
GGGCGGUUAGCUCAGUGGUAGAGCGUCUGCCUUACAAGCAGGGGGCCACUGGUUCAAAUCCAGUACUGCCCA